GGAUGCAGUGACAUGCACCUGUAGCCCCAGUUACUGGGGAGGCUGAGGAAGGAGGAUCUCUUGAGCCGAGGAGUUUGGGGGCCAACCUGGGCAACAUAGUGAGACCUCAU
RNAcentral lists this small RNA (110 nucleotides) under Marmota monax (woodchuck). The record is from RNAcentral. Lineage: Eukaryota; Metazoa; Chordata; Mammalia; Rodentia; Sciuridae.